RNAcentral lists this ribosomal RNA (497 nucleotides) under uncultured bacterium. Its description in RNAcentral is "partial 16S ribosomal RNA". It matches the Rfam family "Bacterial small subunit ribosomal RNA", at positions 28 to 507 of the family's 1533-position model. The record is from RNAcentral.
GAUGAACGCUGGCGGCGUGCCUAAUACAUGCAAGUCGAGCGAACAGACGAGGAGCUUGCUCCUCUGACGUUAGCGGCGGACGGGUGAGUAACACGUGGAUAACCUACCUAUAAGACUGGGAUAACUUCGGGAAACCGGAGCUAAUACCGGAUAAUAUAUUGAACCGCAUGGUUCAAUAGUGAAAGACGGUUUUGCUGUCACUUAUAGAUGGAUCCGCGCCGCAUUAGCUAGUUGGUAAGGUAACGGCUUACCAAGGCAACGAUGCGUAGCCGACCUGAGAGGGUGAUCGGCCACACUGGAACUGAGACACGGUCCAGACUCCUACGGGAGGCAGUAGUAGGGAAUCUUCCGCAAUGGGCGAAGGCCUGACGGAGCAACGCCGCGUGAGUGAUGAAGGUCUUCGGAUCGUAAAACUCUGUUAUUAGGGAAGAACAAAUGUGUAAGUAACUAUGCACGUCUUGACGGUACCUAAUCAGAAAGCCACGGCUAACUACGUG